Molecule: RNA transcript, 2820 nt
Organism: Vicia villosa (hairy vetch)
Lineage: Eukaryota; Viridiplantae; Streptophyta; Magnoliopsida; Fabales; Fabaceae
Gene name: enoyl-[acyl-carrier-protein] reductase, mitochondrial-like
Exons: 9
Source: RefSeq, a predicted model, not a curated record
GAAGAAAAUAUUUAUUCGUAAGAAAAGUGAAAACAAGAAAAAUAAAUAAAUUUCAAUCACUUCUCUUUAAAAAAAUCCUUUGAAACGACGUCGUUUCAUCGAAGAGCGCGCAGCACAAGCACACGAUGAAGAAAAGGGGUCAUAAGCGAUAAACUUCUGAGAAAGAUCGAAACAGAACAACGAAAAUGUUGCGAUCACUGACUCUUAAACCCUCUUCCUUACUUUCCAAAUUCAAUUUCAACCCGAGUCCUUUUCGGAGUAGAGUUGUCACCACGCAAGCAUUCUCCUCCGCCGUGUCACCGCCAUCGAAGGCGAUCGUAUACGAGGCGCACGGCCAACCAGACGCGGUGACGAAACUGGUAACCAUUCCGGGUAAGGAAUUGAAAGAGAACGAUGUGUGCGUCAAGAUGCUGGCUGCUCCGAUAAACCCUUCCGAUAUCAACAGGAUACAAGGUGUGUAUCCUGUGCGGCCAGAACCACCUGCAAUUGGUGGCUAUGAAGGCGUCGGAGAGGUUUACUCCGUUGGAUCCGCCGUAACGUCUUUCUCUCCCGGCGAUUGGGUUAUUCCCUCUCCACCUUCUUCCGGGACAUGGCAGACAUAUAUUGUGAAGGAUCAGAAUGUGUGGCACAAGGUUAACAAGGGUGUGCCUAUGGAAUAUGCUGCUACUAUUACUGUUAAUCCUCUCACUGCUCUUCUCAUGCUUGAAGAUUGCAUUACUUUGAACUCAGGGGAUGCUAUUGUGCAAAACGGGGCAACCAGCAUGGUUGGCCAGUGUGUCAUUCAGCUGGCAAAAUCUCGUGGCAUUCACAGCAUUAAUAUUAUACGGGACAGGCCUGGGGUUGAUGAAGUUAAAGAAAGACUUAAGCAUUUGGGUGCUGAUGAAGUUUUCACGGAGAAUGAAUUGGAAGUGAAGAAUGUCAAGAGUCUUCUGGAUGGUAUCCCUGAACCUGCGCUGGGAUUUAACUGCGUUGGUGGCAAUUCUGCUUCUCUGGUUCUCAAAUUUUUAAGACGGGGAGGAACUAUGGUGACAUAUGGUGGAAUGUCUAAAAAACCUGUCACUGUAUCAACUUCAUCCUUCAUAUUUAAGCAACAUGCGUACAUUAGGACCAGACGGGAGGCCUACUAGCCGACGCCGCCACCGCGAUGAAGCUGGUCCCUCUACCCCACUACAAGAGCCACCACCGGAGCCACCACUGGAGCCACCCCAGGAGCCACCACAGCCAGCUGGAUAUCCUAGAGGACCUUCAGAUCUAUCAUUACUUCUUCGAUACUAGGACCAUGUUGCUCGCCGUUUAUGGUACGGACAGGUAAGUAAAAUUAAUUAAUUAAUUUUAAAAAUAAUUGAUUAUUAUAUUUUCUAAUGUGAUUUUUUUAUUUAUUUUCAGGAAAGAGGUACUAAAAAGGAGCUUUAAGUUGCAGGACAUGGGACGAAGCUUCAGGAAAGAGUGCCUCAGAUGCUCCCACCAGAGAUGGAGGUUAUCGUGAGUGGGUCAGGUCUGUCUUCUCUUCAGAGAACUAGCCUGACCAAGAUAGACGUUAACCUUGUCUCAGCAUUUGUGGAGAGGUGGCAUAUUGAGACAUCGUCAUUUCACAUGCCAUUUGGUGAGAUGACGAUUACAUUAGAUGAUGUUGCCAGUCUGCUGCAUUUGCCUGUCGGGGGUAUGUUCUGGUAUCCUGAGGAGCAUGUCACAGAGAAGAUGACUGUUGAUCUUGGCAGGCAGUACUUGGGAGUGGAUAGGGAUGUCAUGGCUCAUCAUGUGCGUUCAUGCAGGUGAGCUUAUUAUUCACUGCAGUGGUUGCAUGAUAGAUUCGUGGAGUACCGUGCUGCUGGUAGCUGGGCUUUUGCGACCAGGGCAUAUUUGAUGAUGUUGGUAGGUUCUACUAUUUUUGCAAUAUUUACUCUGGUCGAGGCCCGGUAUUUGCUACUGUUUAGAGACCUACGUGUGCUUAGUUCCUACAGUUGGGCAUCUGCUGCACUGGUCACUCUUUAUCGGCACCUUGGGGAUGCAUCUAUGUUUAGUUGCAAGCAGCUCGGUGGAUAUCCUACUCUGCUACAGUGUUGGAUACAUGAGUACUUUCCUACACUAGGAAGGAAAGGAGAAAACUGGCGCCCAUCUGACAAUCAAGGGCUUUCGCGGGCGAUGAGAUGGUCCUACAGGCAAGGAGCCAUGAAGGUGGAUGAGUUUAGACCGGUAUUGGACCAGCUGGCACCUACAGACGUCAUAUGGCGCCCAUUCGAGGAUCAUAGACAUCAUCGUGCUUUUAACGAGUUAUCAACUCUGUACAGAGGUUUUCUUGUUUGGGGUGACUUACAUGUGCCAUACUUACCCGACAGGUGUCUUCGUCAGUUUGGUUAUCACCAGUAUAUUCUGCCUGCACCUCCUGCUGAUACGCUCAGCAAUGAUGACAUUGCUGUGGAGUGGAUUGCCUAUUACCAGAGCGUGCCAGAUGUGGUUAGAGAUACCGAGUCAGUCAGAUACCCUCAUGAGACGGUUGAUGGAUAUUUACAAUGGUAUUACCGCGUGUCGCAUCCUCAGGUGGUGGCGCCCCCACCUCGUGCCCGUAGAGAGGUUACAGUUCCUGUGUUUGAUGCAGGACCAUCUGAUCCGCAUUGGGCUCAUGCCUCCACAUUGGUUCACCGUUAUCUCCGGCAGGUAGAGGCGGAGGAGGAGGAUGUAGCGUAUGCUGAUUUAUUUGAGGAACUUUCCUUGAGGGGUUUCUGGUUGCAGAAUUGGUUGAGCACAGAUAAAGCUGAAGAGGGCAGAAGAAUGAUAGACAGGCUUUUGGGUCUUGUACAAGAUGGAAAGUUAAAAUACAAG